GCCAUCCAUGCUGCUCCUCCACAGAGCCUUCUUUGCUCUCCAAGCUCUAUUGGAACUGAGUCUUCCUUGGUGGUCCCCCAUCCAAAUACAAAGCCUGCUUAGCUUCUGAGAUCUGACAAGAUUGGGUUAUACCUACUGCAACUAUAAUUCCCAGCGAUCCACCAGAUAUGAAGUUUCUUCAUUUUCUCUUGAUUGCCUUCUUCUUGAUACUUAUGCCCACUCCAGGAUUAGCCCCUGAUUCCCCAUGGAAUCCAGAAAGCUGUCAUGAAAAGGGAGGUUUCUGUUAUGCCAUGAACUGCCCCUGGUGUUUUAGCUCCUAUGGGGCAUGUAGUGUGGCUGAGAAGUGCUGUAUGAGGGAGAGCUGGCGCCCUGAAUGUGCAGAAGCCACUACACCAGCAGGGAUUGGUAGCCCUACGACAUCAGCACCUUCGGCUCCAAAAUCUACUUCAUCCCAGAAACCUCUUGGCAAUACUAGGAAACAGUGCUAAACUGGCCAUUACUACUACCCUGUCUGUGGGUCUGUCCACAUACUUACCGAAUUACCCAUCAGUGUCUGGUGUUCCUCAUUAAUGGCCUGGUUAAAUAGCCCUGUUUUGCCUUUUAGAAAGUUCCUUCUAAUGUUUGUCUAUCUGUUAUGACUCUGUUAUGACAGACCCAUUUGCCACCCUAUCUAGCUUGUAGUACUGUUGUCAACUUUGAACUUGUGGAGCAACAGAAUGUAAAUCUGAUAGCGUUUGUUUGUCAUUUAUGGAUAAGGAACAUCUAUCCUUGGA
Eublepharis macularius is the source of this 773-nucleotide long non-coding RNA. RefSeq lists it as uncharacterized. The transcript has 4 exons. Lineage: Eukaryota; Metazoa; Chordata; Lepidosauria; Squamata; Eublepharidae. The record is from RefSeq and is a predicted model, not a curated record.